Non-coding RNA from Dermacentor andersoni, 20720 nucleotides. The record is from RefSeq and is a predicted model, not a curated record. Lineage: Eukaryota; Metazoa; Arthropoda; Arachnida; Ixodida; Ixodidae.
CCGGUGAAAAAAAACUUUGUUGCUGUUUUGGGCAUGGUCGUGUUGAGGCUUUCUUUACAGUGACGAAGCAUGCGAUAUAUAUCUGUAUCUGUGAUAUAUGUCACAUUUUCCUUUAUGCGCAGAUCGGCCUUAAUAAAUUAAACGAUCAGAGGAGGGGCAGAUAGUUGCGCUUCCUCUAGCCACCUUCUGGCUACAGAAAUUUUGUCCAUCUCGCAACAACAUCACUGUUGUGAUGGCUAUUCUCUGGCACAAGGCAUCAUUUGUCAGCUAAUCGCCUGUGCUGCAGUCCUGCUCAAGGCAGCUGUUUAACUCUACUGCAAUAUGGACCGUCUUACACAUGCCCCUGGAAGCAUUUGCUUCAUUCUUCUGUGGAAUAUGGUGAAUGGAGAUAACGACUUUCUUGAAAAAACGAGGAAGAAGUAUGCUAAGCCUGCACUCCCUUUUUGGGCUAUCAUCACUAUAAUCCUAAUUCUAUCCACAUUUGUGACAAGCUGUAUUAUGUUUUGGUGUGUCUUCUACCCAAGAAGACGACAAGCACUGGCAAUGACGCAAUCCAGCCCUUGUGUGCCACCAUUGUUGGGUCCAUCUCCAGGUCCAAUGGUGUCAGGUGCACCUGCCCAUUCCUACCUAGAAGCAUAUCCUCUUGUACCAGGUGCAUCCACAUCUCUGACUUCGCUGAACACACAGCGGAGGGGCUUUCAAGAAGAGAGAAGUCCUCCAUAUCCCAAGAAUGGACUCUACUCCGAUCAUAGCAGUGCAUCGCUGCCCCAGCUACCAACAGCGUCAAUGCCAUCUGCACCACCUCAGCCAUUACCCCCUUAUGGCAACUGAGCAAACAUGGAAUUGCCAUGGUGGCUUAGAGGCUAUGCCAAACUCUGCUGCUGGGUUGGAAGUUGCAAGAUUUGACCCAGAUGGGAGCACAAUGCGAAAAUGCUGCUGUGGUCAAGCAGAAUGUCCCUGCCACAGCCACCAAUAGCACCAAUGCCAUCUGCCAUUCACAAUCCUGACAUAAAAAUUAUGCAGAUCCAUCUAAAGCACAUGUUACAAUCUAUGUGAAGCGAAGAUUUAGUGAAGUGGUUAGUGGCGUGUCAUGGGACUAAGUGUGGUUCAUUCUCAUUAAUGCUUAUGCACCGCACAGGCCACAAGCUAUUCUGAAAUGCAAACACCAAAUGAGGCAGAUGCAGUGUGAGACGUCGACGCAGUGGUGUCCCGAUGACGAAGGCAAUUUAUACUUUUGGACGACAUGUUUCUAAAUACGUUUAGGGAUUCUAUACUCCUUGUGCAAUAGUGGCACAUACCUAUUGCAGAAGCUUGCCCAAGAAUUCGGGCAUGCCUUGUGGUGCAUAACCAUUGGUACAUACCAAUGGCCCAGGAACGGGGUAGUACAAAUGUAAGAAUAAGAAACUCAAAGGAAGCUAUUAAAUACUGUGCGCUAUUCCAUUAAGAUGCCUGUGUGCUUUAGAGAUGCCUAUUAGCUGACACUAUAUGUGCAGGUUUUGUGCUGUGAUUUAUUGUUUUGUUAUGUAAAACAGAGAUCCAUUCGCUGGCACUACUUUGUCAGUCAACAGGCAGUGCUAUAUAAGCCAGUUUUCUAGAUCCUAGUUCUCAUGCCUAUCACGUGAGAAACUGAUGACCGAUUGAUGACUCAUGCCAAACAGCAUUGUGGCAGGCAAAAACAGUUUCACUUUGAAAAUUCCUUACAUAUUUCUAAGCCGCAUUGCUCAAAACCAUGCCAAAUGUUGUUUUAAGGCAGGCCAUUGAAAGCACCUCUGUAUUCCUGUUGAGCACUCUUUAUCACCAUGAAGUUUGCUCAUUGUCAAUCAUCCCCACAAAUUGGGUCCUUGGAAGGGACACAAAGUAGCCUCAAAUCAGGAUCCUUCAAAUUGCCCUAGACCACAUAUGCAAGCAGUAUUUAUGCAUUACCCAUAUUUUCACAGGUGGUCAUCUUGUCAGAGUUGCUUGCGUGGUCUUUUUCUACCCUUAUCAUGCCAGCAGUCCUUUUACCAGCUUGGGCAGGUGAUAUCAUUUCUAUUUAGAACUUUGCCAAAUCAAAACUUCUUUUUGUAUCCAUUGGCAGCCAUUGUUACAUUGGGUGAGACACUGCUUUUUUUCUUUUCACAGCUAUUUUUGUGCUUACCUCCAAUGCCUUCACCAUCCAGGCACAUAUCUUAGCUUUUUAAUGAAAAAAAAAAAAAGAACCUCUCUAUCUCUGUGCCUGGACUGGAAGGGUAGGGGCUAUACACUGAAACAAUCCCUUGUGACAAUGAUUUCACUUUCCUGAGUUACUUGGUUCAGUACUGUUACGGUGACAACUACCUGAUGACUUAGGUUUCUGCCAUCCUCCUAAUCAGCACAUUCAUACAGUAUGCCAAAAUAACGGUGAUAGAAAGGUAGUAAGCACACCCACAUGCUUUUUUUUCAUCACUGUUACAGUUUUAGAUCAUUUGCACACACAUAAGAUACCUAAUGUUAUCAUUCUAGAAUGCACUCCCAAUGCCCAAGAUUCUUGUCUGUGCAUCAAAGUGAUGCUGACACUGUAGCGACAAUCAUACUGCAGCAGCACGAAUAGUAAUGUACAAGUCCCAAAGCAAUGUCUGACAUUACAAGAAAGAAAAUAGUAAAGAGUGGUUCAGUUACAGCAUUUGUUCCCACGGGCAAUGAACAUGUCUGCUUUUGCAGGCACUCUUAGUUGGCGAUGUAAUAAUGUGAUCUUAACAGUUCUCCCUUGAUAUGCACCCUGCACUUCCAAACAUUCCAGAAACUUUUAAAGCAGCUUGAUUGACAUGAAAUAAUAGGGUGCUUGCCAGUUCCAUUAUUUUCUAUCACUGCGAAAUUAACUGUUACAUUUUAAUAUCUUGAAGCUGCACCAUAGGCUAUGAAGGAUGCCAUAGCAAGCAGCAAGUGAACACCAAGGAUCAAUGCGGAACAUCUAGCUCACUUCUGGUGUGUCUCUAAAGCAAAGGACAGUGCCGAAAGCUGAGGGCUGUCAAGUUUGGAAAUGUGAAAGUGAUGCAGCAGUCUUUUUUCCAAGAAUGAGAUAACGACACAACAUUGUAAGCCUGUAGGGCAGAAGUGGGCACAGUAAUUCCUUGCAAAGGGGCCACAUACCAGUCGUCUACUAUUGAUAAAGGAAUCCUGCACUGCUGUUACCACCUGGCUCUAGAUAAAACGUUUCAACAGGUGGUUCAAAUGGUUUGUGUGACCAAGUUUUGAAUUUGGACAAGAAACUGCGAUUCUGGCAGCUUGGCAGUCUUUCCUAAAACUGAAAUAGUACGCGAGCGUUUUUGUCUUAUGGCCUCCAUCAGGAUGCCAGCCCGUGACUUCCUGCUUGGCAACAGUGGUGUGGCCUCUGAGCCCAUGACAAGUCAGUCACUUUCCUGAUGUUUUAGGUGAUGCUUUAGGUGAUGUCAGUACUUGUUCGGUUUUUGUAAGUGAGUGAUAGUGCAGAUAAUAGGGUUUCCUACUGAACUUUUGGGGGAGAACUCUGGUGCUGUGAUUUUUCGGCUACCAUGGGAAGGAUGGUUAGUACAUGGAUUUGUCUUAUAGUUCUUGCGACUUGACACGUUCUUGUGGCCUAAGUUACACUUUGCCUUUAUAGGUACUGUCUGAAACAUGGCGUUGAUGACAUAUUUCCAGCUCCGCAAUCGCUUCCGGUGUAUACACUUAGCUAAGGCAUAGCCUUUUAAGAUCUGGAGAAAGCAGUCACUGGGGCACGUAUUUGAGCCCCACCUAUUGGCCUGAAUUUCAAAUCAUUCAUAUUUAUAUAAGUGCAGAAUGCAAUAAUACACUGUGCAUGCAUAAUCAUUGCAAAGUGUUGCAUUUAUAGCACAAUAUUUCGUUGCAAAUUAUCAAUUUUGCAAUAUCGUAAAGCCAUUUGAAGUGAGGAAGGCGAAGUUUAGGCAUAUCCAUGUACAGUUAAAGUUUGACAUACUGAAGUAGGUAAAAUCAGCAAUUUGCUUCGUUAUAUUGAAAAUUCAUUGUAUUGAAAUUCGACAUUUUACGCAAAUAAGUACAGGCGCCGAUCGAUUUUUCGUACUUGGAAAGGGGCCACAGAAUUUUAUGAAUUAUCGGGCAAUCAAAAAACAAACUUGAGUGAUAAAACAAUUUAUUUUGAUGAAUUUGGGAGUCUGCAAUAAACAAUAUAGUUUCAUGCCACGCCAAUGGUAUAUUCACAUCAGCGUUACGAGUUGAGCGAAGCCAGCCACACUUUUGCAUGUGCUCCACCCCCGCGGUUGAUAGCAUCACCCACACUGGGACGAGGCUAUCAUGAAAAGCGUUGGCAGUGGGGAGCGAAUGCUUUGUCUGCCGCUCGCUCCAAUGGGUCAUCGAAACUCGAGAUUGUGCAACCUCCAAUACUAAACGCACUUGAAGACAGCUUACAUGAUGCCACGCUAUCUCUGCACGCCCACUCUCUGCACGCAUGGUAGAUUCUCUAAAGCGGGGUGCGCUGCUGCCGCUCAGCUGUGCUUACAGCCAUGCGUAACCACGGCCAAGACUCGCACCAGUAAUUGCAACGCAUGUCAACUUAACCUAACUUAACUGUCCUUCGCGCGCUUGAUCGUGCUACCACGAGCUUGCUCCCCUCCUCCUCUUUCCCUUUGCUUGUGCGGGAAGGCGGCACUCCUGGAGCCACCAUAUUUCUUCUCACUCUCCAACACUUCCACUCGCACCUAUAGCACAAAGUGUGCGCGUGGCACAAUAGGAUCUUGUCGCACUUAGACUUUAUAGAAACAUGAUGCGGCUCUACUUCGGUGGUCGCUCUUGUCGUGCCGCGCACAAUUUGAGAGGUGCGUUUGCAAGCAGCCUCUUUUAAUUCAGUCAUUUGACCAUCUGCAUCCGUGGAAGUUUCCAUUUAUUGUCUCGGCAUUCCUUUCCGGCGGCAGCGAAAUUUCGUUUUACUGAAAUCGCUUACAAACACACUUCGUUACGUUCAGGUUCUAAAUACAUGGUGUUCUAUGACAAAAGGUUAUGAAAAAUGAAAUACUUUGCUAUAUUGAGAAUUUUGUUAUAUUGAGGUUUAACUGUACCAACCAUCAUUCCCAUGCCCUUUGAACUGCCAUGCUUGCAGAUGCUGUAGACACUAAUGCCACAGUUAUCUUUAGCAGUUUUUGCAAGAGACUCAAUGGUGCAGAUGACACUGGCAGUACUGUGGGCAGCUGUGACAGGGGCAUACUGCUAUAACCAGAGUAGAGUCCAUCGUCUGAAAAUGGAGGACUCCUCUGUUCCUGGAUGUCCUGUUGUGAUGUAAUGCAAUUGCACCCUGUAUGAGAAGAUGUGGUUCUUGGGGGAGCAGGGGCGUAGGCAAGUGCACCAAACGUCGCUGGACCUGACGAAGGCACACAGGCAAUGAUGCGGUCCGGCCCCUAUGUGCCACCAACAUUGGGUCCAGCUCCGAUUCCAGGUCCAGUAAUGUCAGGUGCACCUACUUGUAGCCACCCAGAAGCGUAUCCUCUCAUACCUGGUACAUCCACAUCUCUGACUACCCUGAAUACACCACAGAAAGGCUUUCAAGAAGAGAGAAGUCCUCUCUACUCCAAGGAUGGAUUCUACUCUGAUUAUAACAGCUCGUCCCUGCCCCAGCUGCCCACAGCAACAAUGCCAUCCGCACCACCUCAACCACCGCCCCCUUAUGGCAACUGAACGAACUAGCAUUGCCUGGACCUUCGUGGAUGCAAUGGACUGGCCACGGUGGCGCACUCUGCUGCUUAGUUGGAAGUUGCAAGAUUUUUCCCCCCAUGGGAGCACAAUGCAAAAGCGACUGGCAAGGGCAGCAUGUCCCUGCCAGCUGCCCACAGCACCAAUGCCAUCUGCGCAUUUGCUUAUUACAACAACAAAAAAGUUGCUGAUAAGCACAUUUGGUUAUAACAGACCACAAGCCAUGCUGAAAUGCAAGCACCAAAUGAGGCAAAUGCACAUUGUGAGACAGUGAUGCAGCAAUGUCAUGAGGACAAAAGCAAUGUAUGAUGCUUGCUUGACUUAGGCAAUGUGAAAUAACAUAGACAGAGGGAAAGAGAAUGCAGAUGCAGCGCAGUAUGAUGCUUGUGGACGACAUACAUUUAAAGAUAUGAUACGCCUUGGGCCACAGUUUCACAUACCAAUUGUGGAGGGUUUGCAAAGAAUUGGCACACACCCAUUGGCACAUACCCAAUGACCCAAGAAUGGUGUAGUGCUACAAAUACAACAAAUUUAGGAAAAUCAGGGAAGAUGUUAAAUAUUGCGCGGCAUUAAGAAGUAUUUCUGUUUUAGAGAUACCUAUGAGACGACUUACAUGUACAUGCUUUAUGUCAUGAUUUAGUGUUUUGUUAGGUAGAACAGAGACGCACACACUGGCACUACAUCGUCGGUCAACAGGCAGUGUUGUAUAAUGCUGGUUUGCUAUAUCCUAGCUCUCAUGCCUAUGCUAGCUCAUGCUAGCUCUCGCUUAGCUCUUGUGACAGAUGAAUGACAACCCACACCAAAUGAUGCUGUUAUAGGCAAAGAAAGCUUCCUUUAAUUAUUGCUUAUUCACUUAGGACAUGUUCUUCAAACCAAGAGACAUUUGUUAAGCCACAUUGCUCAAACCCAUGCUAAAUGUGGCUUAAAGGCACCCUGAAACACUUUUUGAACAUAGUAAAAGAAUGUGGCCGAUACUUUAACGAAGCUCCUGUGAACACGUGAGCCAAAUAAUAUUGCACUGCAUACAGCAGGAAAUUUACAAUCUCUUGUCAAAAGCAGGGAACAGUUGCUUGCUCUUGCAUCCGCAAUGUCGUCGUCAAAAGCAGUUGGCACACCAAUGCUAUUGGUUGAUUUCAUGAUCGCGAAAGCAUUCUCAGUAGUGCACAGUCGCUGACUUUGAGUUAAAUAAAUGCAAAAUAUGUCUCCCUUCUCAAAAUGGCAGAAAUAUUAUUUCAUCUUUGCACUGCGUGUGGCUGCGUCUGCUGUGCGUAGCUUUCAAGAUGGCAACGGCGUGCUGCAUAGCGUAGUUUAGUGCAGCUGUCAGGAGGUGCAAGCUGCAGCUACAACAAGUACUUUUGCUGCUGCAACUCAACUUUUAGGCCGGGCGUUGCCUUCUUAGCUUUUCCACUGUAUAGCUUCCAGCGUGGUAGUGAAGACAAAAAGAGGGAGAAAGCCGCGUAUCGGUGCGAUAACACCUAUUAUAGUUGAAGGUUUUGAAAAGAUUGUGCGGCAUGAGAUUUGUGAGACAAUGUACUUUAAUAGUGAGGCCAUUCUAUUAUUAGUUAAAAAAGUGUCUUGGGGCCCCUUUAAGGCAGUCCACUGAAAGCAUCUCUGCAUUCUUGCUCAAGCACAUUGUAUAUACCAUCAAACUAGCCUCGUGGUCGAUGACCCAUAUAAAUUGGAUCCCUGGCCAAUAAUAGUCAUUGUCAAUAGUCAUUAAUAGUCAUUGUGAAGAAGGCUCCCGUGCGAAAGCUGAAAUGUAUUUUAUUUGAAUAUACUGUGCCUUUGUCGGCACUGUGCGUUUUAUUGACCAUGGAUCCCUGAAACUGACAAGAACUAGCCUCAAAUGAACAUCCUUCAAAUUGCCUUAAACCACACACGCGAAGUGUAUUGUUGUAGUCUAUGUUUUCCUGGUGCAUCAUCUCAUCAGAGUUCCCCAUGUGGUCUUUUCCUACCCUUUACAUGCCAGCAGUUCUCGUACCAACUUCAGCAGGUGAUGUCACUUCUAUUAUACAACCUUGCAGAAUCAGCAAAGCUCCUCUUUAUAACUGCUGGCAGCCAUCAUAACAUUGGGUGAGACACUGCCUUCUUCUUUUCACCUCUAUCCUGCUCUUGGUGCCUACGGUCCUUCAGUCGUGUCCCCAUGUGAAGUAACGUGCAAGUUGUUCUACGCAUGUUGGCAAACUUCUCAGCUCUUCAAAUUUCCCCUCUCCCUUCUGCCCAAGAAAGUAUUGGGGCUAUACUCUGGGACAGUGUUCUUUAUGACGAUGCUUUGAAUUUUGUAUGGCAUGCGGUUCAGUACGAUAUUUCACGUAGACAGCCUCUUGAUGAUUUAAAUGGCAAAUCUGGUGAUUUUUCGAUAUCCACUGAUCUUAAUAAAAUUCUGAAUGCAUUAUCUUUUUCGCUCUGAUUAUCUAUGCCAAACAGUAUGGCUGCAAGUCAUUUAGUUUUCCUGAAAAUGAAUUUUAAAGAUUGGUUGCGUUCCCGACUCAUGACUUUUUACUGUCCACCCUGUGUAUGUGACAUCAGAGACUACGCUGCCACUGUCACUGAAAUCGCUGCUGUCUAGUUAGGAAAAUCUGUAAGAACUCCCUGUAUUGUCAGGAGACAUCGUCAGCGUCAAUUCUUUGGCGUUAGCGCUACAUGUUCUGUGUAGCAUGCAUUCUGUGUGUUUACAUGAUAGUAGUGUACUGUAGGCUUCAGUAUCUUGUUUAUUGGUUAUAUAAGAUUAUUGAUGAAUUUCUAAGCAAAUCGAACCACCCUACUGGUGACAGGACUGUCAAUGCCAUUUGAAAAUCUCAAUCUCCUAAUAUGAUAAAAAAAAAAAAUGCCGGAGUUUCCCUUUAAGGUUUCAGAUAUCCACACGAUCAAAGCAUUCGCACAGUAUGUCAAAAUAAUGGUGAUGAAAUUACAGCAUGCCCAAGCACUUGUUUUGUCACUGCUGCUGUUUUAGUGAAUUGGGAUGCAUUUAAGACCCCUGCGGUUGUCAUUCUAGAAUGCAGCACAAACUCUCAAGCUUCAUGUCUUCUCUGCGCACCAAAGUGACACCGGCAGUGCGGUGACAGUGAUGCUGCAAUUGCAGCAACAGUGACAUACAAAUUCCACAGCAAAGUGUGUCUUUAUAAGAGAGAAGGGUGUUCAGAGAGGUUCAGGUAUAGCACUUGCUUUCACAAGUAAUGAUUAUGGUUGCUUUUGCAUGCAGUCUUAGUGGGCUGUGUAGUAAUGGAAGCAUAACAAUUGACUCUUGACACCCUCUUCUCUUCCAAGCACUUCCAAAGUAGCUGAAUGAAUGUAAAAUACUCUGGCAGAACAGUCGUUGUCCAUCACUCUUCAAGGAAACUUUUACAUUUUAUUGUGCCAAAGCUGCACCAUGGGCUAUGAACAAUGCACAUGGUGCAGCUUCUGACUAAUUCUUGUAGCAACCUAAGGUUGUUUACUAAAGCAUACAUAGCACAUGAAGGUUGUUGCAUUGUGCCCUCAUUGGGAUUUGAUUGUGUGACUUCCUGCUUCUCAACGAGGUGGUGUGAUCUCUGAGCUGCUGUGGCAAGUCUAUCGCUUCCACAGUGUUUUAGGGGAUUGCAGUAUGUUUCAUUUAGUUUGUGCAAAGGGAAGUAGCUUAGGGGAUGCAGAUGUCAUUGAUACUGUAGGCAGCUGUGGCAGGGGCUGCUAUGACAAGUUGAAUCCAUCUUCAGGGUACGGAGGACUCCUCCAUUUCUGGAGGCCCUUCUGUUGUGCAUACAGCUGCAAUGUGGAUGCACCUGGUGUGAGAAGAUGCAGUUCUGGAGGGAGGGUUGUGUGUGUAGGUAGAUGCAUCAGACAUCACUGGACCCAAAAAUGAAGACACACAGGGGUGGGGUUGCAGCAUUGCCUGCAAAGCACAACGUGAUGGUUGAAAGACGUUACAAAUGAGCACUGUGUUUGAUGAGUAGGAAGGAUACGUAAAGGGAAAGGGCAGAAAGGUCACCUUAAUGCUUACUACUCUGUCCUGUUAUUCUGCAUAGGGAGAAAAAGGAAAGAGCAGAAAAAGAUUGCUACCAUGAGUGAUGACGACGACAAGGAGCAAUAAAAAGCAAAUGAUUAGGUGCCCCUGUGACAGAACGUCAUUACUACAGUUAGCAGCAUUAACUGUUUGUCUGCUUAAUGUCUUCAAUGAUUUGCUUUUAUGCUCACUGGUAUGACCUUUAACUAUCAUUGUGUUGUUACAAUCUUAGUUUUAAGUUUUACACAUAGCUUGAAGCCAAACAGACAAACAGCUUUUGAUAUCAGUGGUGGUGUCAAGGCACUGCUUUAUCGGCCCCAUGUUGUUUUAGUUUUCCAAACCAGGUUUCAACAAAGUGCUAUAGUUAGUUUGCUUUCCAGUUUUUUAUAUAGCAUGAUUGCUUUGCCUAUGUGAGAAACCUAUGUUCAUUUAUGUUAAAGGGCCCCUUACCACGAGCCUUAUCAGUAGUUUUGGUUAUAUAUACACUGGAAGUUGUAAACAGUUGUCUAGGAAGCAUGCUACAGAGAAGUUUUAGAUAGGGUUUAGUAAUAGCAUAUGAUGGACACACCAUAUGCUGUUGCUGAUGAUGGAUGCAUUGAUAUGUUGAGGUCUGAAGGGACCCAAAACAGCUACUGCUGUAAAUUUUAUAUUUGAUAACAAUGGAGAGAUGGAAUACAAUAAGGAAAACACAGGAAGCAGCACUGUCGUGAUGUAGGCCUCCAGUGUACUCUCACAAUGCACUGAAAACAUAAGGAGGCUAUGCUGCUAUCACUCAGUGCUACGCUAUGGGACGAGGGCCAGUAUUGUGGAAAGAGUCAAGGGGGACAGCACGUGGAAGGUUAGCUCCCUCUCAAGCCUGUUGUUCUGCUCUAGAAAAAACGUGCUAGAAGGUUCCACAGACAGUGCUUUGCUGUUUCCACUCGGACAAACCUUUCAAGCGAUUAUGUACUGGGCACUUUUAAAAAUCUAAUCUGCACUUGUGAAAUGUGCACUGCUGCACCGCCCUAGCAGUGCACCUUGUCUUCUAUGGUACCACGCAUACCAUAUGAUGACACAGCUUCUUGCAAGCAUGGCCACCAUGAACGCCAUUAUGGUGAUGGCUGGCAGGGGCAAAGAUUUAGCAUACUUCUUGAUUGUGUGUAAAGUAUACAAACGGCUUUACAAUGACAUUUUAUUUGUGACUGCAAGUGCAAACAUUAGCAGCAAUGAGUUAUGGUGGUUAACAAAAAUUUUGUCAUGAACGUGAUUAUAGUAUAUAUGCAAAUUCAGAACAGAGGGGUCACAGAAAGAUGAAGGCUUGACCAAAAGUGGGAUAACAAAGGAAGCCACAGCUUGAAGGUAGUGUUUCAAUAAAGGGAUUACAAGUCCUGUUGUUGAAACAUUAGCUCUGUGCAGAGGUUCCUCAUGUUCACCAACUGGUUAAUAAAGGAUUAAAUAUGCACUGUAUUGAUUGCCAUGACGUUUGAAGGACUUGCAAGGGAUUAAGUUCUUUUUUUGUCGAUUGUUUAGUGAGUGCUAAACAGCAUUCUUUAGAGAACCUAGAAACGCUCAACUUAUUUUGAGAACAUUGAGAUGGUGGCAUAUGGACGUCAUAUCACCCAGUUUCUUUAUCGUGUGAAAAAUAAUUCUGACGAUGUGUACUGUCAAUUAGCAGGUCACUUGACUGUUUAUAAGUGUGAAAAUAUAGCAUCCAGGUGUUAUAGACAUGCCAAAUCGACCAUCGAAUAGAAUCUAUAUUGUUAGAUUGCCCUUCUGAAAAGCUUGCGGCAUUUGUUUUACGCCAAGAGUUUUGGGGAAAGCCAUGUUAUGAAAAAAUCACAAUUGACAGGGCUUCAUUGUUCUUCAAGAAUACAAAUUUUGCCGUGACGAAUUGGAUCUCUCAAGUACAGUUGUGCUUGGCAAUGUCAGAGUCCAUGGCCUAUAUGCAGAGAGUACCACAUUACCUUAAGAAGUGCCAGCAGAGUGGUGUCAUUCGCCAAGCUUCAUUUCCUCCUAUACCGAAAUCGAACACAAAACACUUUUUCACAAUGACUGGCUGACUACAAUUUACUGUUUGUUAAUGGGAGAUGCUAUGCCUUGAUUGUUGAUAGUGUAUACUCAGAGGCGGUGCCAAUGUUUUCCUAUGUUUCUAUCACUUAUUGGCAUGCGAAGGCCAUGCUCUUCAUAAAAGUAGUACUUUAGAUGCCUUAGAAUGCUGUUACUUCUGAUUAACUUAACGUUUGCCUUCAUUAUCCCAUCUGCAUGAUUUAUUCAUCACUCUCCAUAGCAGUGUUGUUUACAUUUUAAGUUCAGUGCCUUCUUUUUGUGUUUCUCUCACUUAGUUAUGAGUGCCAGUAUAUAUAUAUUAUUGUACUCAUAUCUUUGUUUCUGGUCUCAAGUCAUUUUUCUAUCAUGGUUGUAGUUAUGAUUAUGACGUGCAUAGGUUAUGCUUUGUUAUAUAAUAUUUUACAAGACCAAAGCUCUGUACCUGUCACGAAUAGAUAAAUUUUGACCUUGACUAGCCAUGUUACCACCACCACCAUCAUCAUCAUCAUAUUUUGUUUUUCCACAUGUCCUUGGUUGUUCACCUAAUUAAUGUAGCUUUACUCUUGUUACUAAAGAUGUUGCAUUUGUUACCUUGUGUUUCUAUUCCUUUCCCCUCUGUAAUGGGAAAACCAUGAGGGUAAUAAAAUUUUUAGAUUCAGGAAACAGUUUGUGCAGUUGUGCCGCACACUAUGCUGGUUUUCACUUAAAGCUAGGUAACAACAGAGCAGCAGCAGCAGCAGGCGUUAACACGAUAGCGUUAAGAGCUCCAUGUCGCAGAAUAUGCGACGUCUGAGUCCUGCGUCUGGUGUCCUGUGUCAACCGUCGUUUCAGCAAAAAUGAUUCCGAACCACGCAGACCCUCCGUCUAGCAUAAAGAAGUUACUGAACUGAUUUUUCUCAAAGUAGAAUACCUCAGAAAAAUCGUAAAGUAUGACUUACACGCAACCUACAGACAUAAUAGGGUCGGAUUGUAGUUUGAAUAUACAAGAAAACAUACUUCAGUUAUACACAAAAAAAACUUUUUCCAUCGCUUCUACCAUUCAUAGACAGGGCCACGGCAUCCGAGAUUUGCCUGCAUCAAUGAGCACAAACCUCUGACGCCACGGAGCGGUGCACCUGGUUCCUUGCAACACCUCCAGAUGGCGCUUGCCUCCGCUGCAUCGCAGCCCACGCAACAGGCUGCAUUUCUACCGGAAAGCUUGCCUUCUGAGGGAUGAUUCUUGGCCCCUGCCAGCUAUCCUCAUAAUAGCCGUCGUGGUGGCCUUAUCUUUAUUAUUUGGUGUCAUCUCUUUGUGUGCCUGCUAUCGUAGAAGACAACGCUUAUGGGCAGUGACACAAUCCAGCCCAUGUGUGCCACUAUCAUUGGGUCCAGCUCCAAUUCCAGGUCCAGUGAUGUCAGGCGCAGCUUCCCACACCCACCCAGAAGCGCGUCCUCUCAUGCCGGGGGCAUCCACAUAUCCGAGUACACCCGAUACAGAACAGAGGGCCUUCCAAGAAGAGGGGAGUCCUCCCUACUCCAAGGAUGGAUUCUACUCUGAUCAUGUUUACCCGCAGCUACCCAAAGCACCAGUGCCAUCUGCACCACAUCCACCCUUGCCUCCUUAUAACUAAGUAUGGAUGGCUGGGCUAGUUGGUUGUGAUUAGCACUAUGAAACAUUGUUCCAGCGCACAAUGGAACACGGACGAGAAGAGAAAGACAACAUGAACGCUGGCAUUCGUGUUGUCUUUCUCUUCUUGUCUGUGUUCAAUUGUGCGCUGGAAUGAUGUUUCAUAAUGCUUCUUCACAACCAACUAGCCCAGCUGUCUAUACUUAGCGAUAUACUUUCUAGUACAUUGGGCCCUUUCUCCCCUCCUGCUUUAUGUGCAAACCCUUCCUCGACCUUUGUCAACCUUUUAGCAGUGACCACAUGCCGUGCAAGAGAACUCACGUUUGCUCUUGACCACCGUCUUGUUCUGUUCUACCUGGUGUUCCCGGCGUUCAUGUUGUCUUUCUCUUCUCGUCCGUGUUCAAUUGUGCGCUGGAACGAUGUUUCAUAAUGCUCCUCCAUAUAACAACUGUUGAAACUGGCAUGACCUAAAGCUUCGUGGAAGCGAUGGGCUUGCUACAGUGACUCGGAGGUUGUGCUACUCUGCUGUUUAGUUGGAAGUCGCAGGAUUUCACCUUGAUGGGGGGCACAGUGCAAAAAGGUUACUGUGGUUAUGGCACUGUAACCCUACCACAGCCACUCAUAGCUACAAUGCUACCUAUAGCACAUGAACCACUGCCCUGUUAUGGAAACUGAAACAAAACAAAAUGGUAUGACCUAGGCUUUUGUGGAAGCAAUAGAUUUGCCAUAUGGUCCCUGUGUGGGAGACACCUGCUGACGCACGUCCUGCAGGACCUUUAAUACAGUUUAUCCAAUACAUGCAUUGCAUGCAUUGCAAUGCAUGCUCACUGACCUGGAGAGGCAGAGCAGAAGGGUGGGACUAAAAAUUAAUCUGCAGAAAACUAAAGUAAUGUUUAACAGUCUCGGAAGGGAACAGCAGUUUACGAUAGGUAGCGAGGCACUGGAAGUGGUAAGGGAAUACAUCUACUUAGGACAGGUAGUGACUGCUGAUCCGGAUCAUGAGAGUGAAAUAAUCAGAAGAAUAAGAAUGGGCUGGGGUGCGUUUGGCAGGCAUUCUGAGACCAUGAACAGCAGGUUGCCAUUAUCCCUCAAGAGAAAAGUUUAUAACAGCUGUGUCUUACCAGUACUCACGUACGGGGAGAAACCUGGAGGCUUACGAAAAGGGUUCUACUUAAAUUGAGGAUGACGCAACGGGCUAUGGAAAGAAGAAUGAUAGGUGUAACAUUAAGGGAUAAGAAAAGAGCAGAUUGGGUGAGGGAACAAACGCGCGUUAAUGACAUCUUAGUUGAAAUCAAGAAAAAGAAAUGGGCAUGGGCAGGACAUGUAAUGAGGAGGGAAGAUAACCGAUGGUCAUUAAGGGUUACGGACUGGAUUCCGAGGGAAGGGAAGCGUAGCAGGGAGCGACAGAAAGUUAGGUGGGCAGAUGAGAUUAGGAAGUUCGGAGGGUCAACAUGGCCACAAUUAGCACAUGACCAGGUCAGUUGGAGAAGUAUGGGAGAGGCCUUUGCCCUGCAGUGGGCGUAACCAGGCUGAUGAUGAUGAUGAUGAUGAUGAUCCAGUACAUUAGAUUUGCCAUAGUGGCUCAGAGCCUAUGAAACUCUGCUCUUGUUCGGGAAGCCACAGGAUCACAUUUUGUUAUGGGCUCAAAGUGGAAAUUUAUGCUGGUGUGCUAAGCUUAAAAAAAAAAAUCCCAGGUUUUCAAAAUUAAUCACGAGCUUCCUGCCAUAUGGCAUGCCUAAUAGUAUAAUAGCCCAUGUUGCAGCUUUGAGACAUGAAAAUAUAACAGAUAAUUUUGCACAGUGAUAGACAACAAUGACACUGGAAAGUGGCUAAUUAUUCUAUGCCCAUCCAGUUGCUUUGGAAGUGCCUAAAAGAUUUGGAAUUGUAGAAGGCAUGAAGGGGCAAUUCUUAUUACUGCACUGCCAAUGAAAUAUGCAAACCGUAUUCACUGCCUUAGGGAGCAAAUUCUAUACCUGAACCUCUCUGAGCCCCUUUCCUUCUUCUAAUGCCACACAUUAGCACUUGUACAUCGUUGUUGCUGCUCCUGCGGUAUUAUUGUCACUGCAGUAUCACUCUCUCUUCACUGCAGAGACAAGAAAUCAAGUUUGAGAGUUAGGGCUGCAUUUUGGAAUGAUAACCUUAGAGGCCUUAAGUGUGAGCCUUAAGUAAGCUGCAGUGAUGAAAGGAUGUGCGGGUGUGCUGGCUCUUUAUCACUGUUAUCUUGACAUACUGUAUGGUUGUGGUGAUUGAUUGGGUGGCAGAAAUAUUACAUCAUCAAGAGAUUGUCUUCGUAACAGUUAACUGUUGUGCUUAACCAUGAACCACACAAAAAUGAAACAUUGUUUCAGAGUAUAGCCAUUACUCUUCCAUGGACAAAGGGGACGUUCUUCAUUGAAGAGCUGAAAGACGUGCCAGCACCUGUGGAACGACUUACUUGCUACGCUGUAUGGAUAAGAGAUUGGCGGUCUAUGGGCACCAAGAGCAUAUGUGUGCUUGUGCCCUUGCUCUUUUCUUGUCUAGUUGUAGUGUCAUUUUUUGCAGCUGUUUCAUGAUUGUACUUCACAGUUAAUUGCAGUCAUAACAGCAAGAUAUGCAACUGUUUCUGAGCUUUGUUGCAAACGUGUGUUAUACUUUAUCUGCUUCUCUACAGUAGUGUUACACAGCACGAAAGCCAGGCACAUGCUUCCUAUCGCCAACUGGUGUUGAUUCCGAAAGAAGUGCACUGGUUAAAUUGAGUCGAUCCUCAAAUGCUAGCUGCCAGAGGAAGGAGUCGGGAAACUGGCACACUUUCACUUUUAGAAAUAAAUUGUCACUGCGCGAUGCCACGCAUGUGCCAAGCAUCCAUCUCAAAGCACUAGCUUUCAUGAUAGAAGUGCUAAGCUCAUUACUCUUUGUGUCAUGUGUUGUUUUGUGGCCCAAUGGGUAGAACAUUACGCCAUUGUUGUAGGGGACCCUGGUUGAACUCUCGCCAUUGGACACGUAUAUUAUUUUAUUGAGCGACAGCUUCUGUUAAACGCCUUGCUGAGCCUAUCCGGCAUGAUAGACAACACACUAAACCUUGCAAAGGUAGGCAAAGAAACCUUUGCUUUAGGACAGUGUCUCACUCAAUGUUGUGAUGGCUGCCAAUGGAGCUUGGUUCUGCUAAGUUGUAGUAAAUUGAGGUCACCUAUUCAAGUUGGCACAAGAGCUGUUCGCAUGCAAAGGGUAGGAAAAGAACCACACCGGUGAACUCUGAUGAGAAGACCCACCUGGGAAAAUGUGGUUCAUGCAUAAAUGCACUUUGCUUUUGUGGUCUAGAGCACUUUGAAGAUCCUGAUUUGGAUCUUCAAAUCCCCCCUCCUCGAUGUGGGAGAGCUAUGGGCAGGUCAUGGGGCCCGACUGAUUUGGAGGCUUGUUCAUAUCACUUUCAGGGUGAUUACAGAGCUGAUUGACGUGGAGUGGGAGGGGAGGUGAGUUUGAUGGCAUCAAAUAUGUUCAAGCUGGAGUGCAGACAUGCUGUCAGUGGCCCGCCUUAAGGCAGAUAUGGCGAGGGUAUUAAGGAAUGCAGCUUAUGAAAUGCCUCGGGCUUUGCCGGGUCCUUGCCUGCAUUUACAGGGGGGUUCAGUAUGAACUGUUAACACUUGGUUUUCAUUAAAACUUUUCAAUUGUCCUGUUUUUAUUGCACUGAAAUUGAGCAUGAAAGUGCUGAUGCUUUUACAGAACAGAUACUUGACAAGUACUAGCGAGUGAGGCUUAAGACAUAUUUGUUGUUUUUUGAGUACUGAUUGGAUGCUUUUCCUUCAAACUGAUGGGACCUGUACAAGCCGUAAGGUUGUUGCUCUGUUUGAUAUACAUAUAUCUUUUGUGACUUGUGUGUCCUGUAAACAAUUGUCCCCAGCCACAAAAAUCCUAGCUUUUGUAAUGCUGCUUGCUGAACAAGUAGCUAUGCUAUUUUUAGAAGAAGGGACAGAUGAAAAUUCAGACACCCUGAGGAAGAAACAACAUAAUUAGUUGUUUGGCUGUUUGACUUCCUUCCUAUGUGCACCUUGCUGUGAGCUGCAUUAUUAUUAUUGUCUUUAUUAUUUCUUUCUUGUGACAUUUGGACUGGGGUGCUACAUCACAACUGCUGUUUUUAGUGUAUGAAAUACGUUCCAAAGUAAGUUUCAUCAUUUUUUGAAAGAGAAGAUGGUGCACCAGGUGAAACAAACAAUUGCCAUAAGAAUCCAAACCCGUUGCUGGUUCAAUGAUGGAAGGAGCGUCAGUGGAGGAGGAAUGACGCAUGUCCAGAGCACUGAAGAAGAGAGAGUAGCAGCAAACCAGCAUGCCUGAGAUUAUUAGAGUACGAAUUGCGGUGGCAGACAGACGUGUGCUAACAGCAUGGUCAAUGGAAGUGUGUGCUGUCGUCUGGUAUGAAUGGGCACGUGGGACUAGUGUGUCCAUCAUCCAUGAAUGCCUAACGAUUGUGUAUGGUAAAGAGGUCAUGUCUCAGGCCUUGCAUCGCAGGGCACCGAGUUUUACUAGGGUGGUUUCUUCAAACUGAUUGCACGCUACAGCAAAUGUCUCAACGUAGGUGGCGACUAUGUGGAAAAAUAAUGCAAGGUGUAUUAUUCAUGAUGCCAUGGUGUAUUUUUUUUUUUUUUUGUCGAUAAAUUUUACGUGUGAAAAUAAAUGACGAAACUUACUUUUGGAACGUCCCUCAUAGCUUUUUAUAACGUGAACAAAGAAAGGGAUGCACCAAGUGCCAGUUUUGUAUUUUGUGAUGCAGUUAUAUUGACUUGAACAUGGGCCAGAUUUCACAAAUGAAGGUUACGUUGCUGCAUCUGCUUGCUGCACAUGAAAUACUCAUUCUAUUGUAUUGAUUACUACAAAACUGGGUGAAGCUAGCCUAGCAAAUCUAUAGUACAAGCUUUGCCCACAAAAGUUAGCUGCACUUACCCUCACUGCCUCCAUGCUUUUAAACAAAGUUCCAGAAACAUCCUAAUAUUGAAAGAAGUUCAUCUCUGCCGGCGCAUCCUGGGAAUGAGCAAAUGUAGUUGGCUGGCCCGUAUAUACAGACACAAAUAUAAGUUGGACGGAGGUGCAUUCUUAGGUUGUCGCAACCAUACAAGCUCUGUAUGAUGCUUGUGUAUUGCAUGUGGCUGAGCUCGGUGAUCAAAUGUCAUUUUUACCUACACUAGCUUUAUCUGCAGUUUGCAAUUGGCCCCCUGUGCACAGCUGGAUGAAAGCAGAGGCAUUGUUAUGCAUCACAACCCUGCCAAUAGAUUCCAUGCUGAUACAUUUUUAUAGUUGUAAAGUGUCUGAAGCCCAGUCACCGUAGUGCUAACAAUAUGUUUGCACAAUAUGUUGACCAGCUACUAAUAUCCUAUUUCUUUGGCUCAAAUUGAAAACGUAAUGCAGUCGCUUCAAUGUAUAAGGCUGCAAGAAAAUAAGGCCAUCACAAUGUUUCAACCCCUCAUGUUCACAUUUGUGAAGUGGCUGUCAUGCAUCACCAAACCAAAUUUUAGGUUUAUAAUUUUUACAACGUGUUUUUCAAGACCUGAAAUCAUAAUUCUUCAGCCACAUUAGUCAAUAGAGUUUGACUUUUUCUUCACGUGUGGCACGUAUAAUUUAGAUGGGCUGUGUGGUUGUCUCAUAAUAAGGGUGUUUCAGCAUUUCAUGUGCAUUUGAAUAUGGAAAUUCAAGUUGCAAAUGAGCUAAAGCUUUGUCCUCCUAGAUGUUGUGUGUCGGCUUUGCAGCAAAGUGUAUCUUGCCUAUUAGUAUUUGCUUUAGGCAUAAACAAAAUUUCCUGCCCUUUGACAUUUCCUCUAAGUCAUGUUCUAUGCAUUGCAUCACCUUGGCAUGUGUAUGUAUGCUGCAGUGGCUGGUGCAACAUUCAUUUUGCAGACUAGGUUGUUUGUACAGAAUUUCCAUGCUAAAUCUCUUGUACAUGCACACCGUGUAGUAAUUUGUGAGCACUAGUUUCAGUGUAGGCCGCUAAUAAGCCACUUGGAAAAGUGCCUGCUUGAGCUGUCCUUGUAAGAAGCUUUGUGCCAGUGUAAUGUAACCUUAGAAAUGUUCCUUAUACUGCAGGCUGCUGUGGCCUGCGAGUCUGCCUCACCACUUGUUGUUAUGGUGAUUGUUAUUGAACUCUUCCUGCGGCAUUUUAUUUAUAAACACCAAGUUUUUUAGCGAAGCUGCAUUGGCACACUUGUUGUUGCAUCAGGAAGGUUUGUUCGCUGCCUCAUAAAGAAAUGAAUCUCUCUUUGCGAAAAUGUUGCUAUUUACUUUUGCACUUUUGUAAAUGCGUGCUUCCAGUUUGCUAAGCAACAACGGUAGCUCAGCUUAUGGUGGCAUGCUUGACAAUGUGAUGUUUACCUAACUUUUUUGCUGGGCUUUGUUUGGCACAGCAUGAUCGUUUUGGUGCUUAAUAAAGUUAGCUUAUUUUGCUGCUACCAGAUUAAAAUGUAUGCAUUGUGGCCACAAAAGUCUAGGGAUGUGGCUUCUAGCAAAAGGCAAUGCGGCUGUCAAAUGAAGCCAUCUUAAAGGAAUUGAGACACCUGUAUUAGGAAGGGGGAGAGUACUGUUCUGUCAUUUGCAGCAUUUGCAGCAGCUUUCCUGCAAUCUAUUCACGGACCAAUGGCCAUCUCCAUCAAACGUGGUUAUUUAUUAUAUCUAAACUUUUUCAGUGAAAGUUUUCUUCCACUGACAAUUCAUGCUUACUAUAUGUGUUUGUCAUACUUUCUGCACUGCUAACUUAUUCAGUAGGCACUGUUCCUUGUUCCUACGUGCAGCUGAACAAAUCUAACAUCUGUUUUCAACAUUUUCACACGUUUUGUGUAUGUAUCUUUUUUUUUUUGCACAUGCCAUGCAUUCACCAGUUUGUGAGCAUGAUAAGCCUGCUUUGAGUGAAAUUUAUUCCGCACUGCUGGUAAUACUUCUGCCUUAUAUGCUGUAGCUUGGUGGACAUCAUAAACAACUUGUCUGCUGUAGACUCAAGUUUUCACAGUUUGGUUCCUCUCUGAAAUUUCAGAGUACUUUGUGUGCAUUAAAUUGUUCAAAAUGACUGUCACUGAAAAAUGCACAAAAGAAAGAACCAAAUUUUUUGCUAAUCUUGGGACAUUUACGGAUAUUAGAAUUGUUCAGAGUGGUUGUGUGUGUGUUAGUUAAGGGUCAUCUUGACAGCAUGCAGUACAAACAUGUGGGACACAUGCAGGUUACUUAUACAACAAGCAAACAUUCAUAACUCUGUCCUGCUUGUUAUCUUUUUCUGGAUUCAGUGUUUCUCCAUGUUGUUGUCUGGAUUUAAGCUGUGAUAUGUAAUGUGACAAUAGUGUUGUCAGCUUUAGAUUCGGUGACAAGAUUUUCGUGCCUACAGACUCUGCCUGCCCUUGUUCGCUUGCAGUUUAUGCAUUUUACUGUUGCAUUUUUACUAUGGCUGCAGAAUGCUUGUUGUAAAUGUUAAAGUCCAGUCAAUAAAGCACAUUAGUGUUAUUGUAA